Gopherus flavomarginatus (Mexican gopher tortoise) is the source of this 581-nucleotide long non-coding RNA. RefSeq lists it as uncharacterized. NCBI's taxonomy places the organism in Eukaryota, Metazoa, Chordata, Testudines, Testudinidae. The transcript has 4 exons. The record is from RefSeq and is a predicted model, not a curated record.
CUCCUGCAACGCUUCCCAACCCCCCCUACCCUCUGCCAGCCUGAGGUACCAGCCCCUCCUGCACCGCUUCCCAACCCCCCCUGCCCCCUGCCAGCCUGAGGUACCAGCCCCUCCUGCACCGCUUCCCAACCCCCCCUGCCCCCUGCCAGCCUGAGGUACCAGCCCCUCCUGCACCGCUUCCCAACCCCCCCUGCCCCCUGCCAGCCUGAGGUACCAGCCCCUCCUGCACCGCUUCCCAACCCCCCCUACCCUCUCCCAGCCUCAGGUACCAGCCCCUCCUGCAACGCUUCCCAACCCCCCCUACCCUCUGCCAGCCUGAGGUACCAGCCCCUCCUGCACCGCUUCCCAACCCCCCCUGCCCCCUGCCAGCCUGAGGUACCAGCCCCUCCUGCACCGCUUCCCAACCCCCCCUACCCUCUGCCAGCCUGAGGUACCAGCCCCUCCUGCACCGCUUCCCAACCCCCCCUGCCCCCUGCCAGCCUGAGGUACCAGCCCCUCCUGCACCGCUUCCCAACCCCCCCUGCCCCCUGCCAGCCUGAGGUACCAGCCCCUCCUGCACCGCUUCCCAACCCCCCCUGCCC